RNAcentral lists this ribosomal RNA (254 nucleotides) under uncultured bacterium. Its description in RNAcentral is "partial 16S ribosomal RNA". It matches the Rfam family "Bacterial small subunit ribosomal RNA", at positions 524 to 776 of the family's 1533-position model. The record is from RNAcentral.
CACGUAGGGGGCGAGCGUUGUCCGGAUUUAUUGGGCGUAAAGAGCUCGUAGGCGGCUCAGUAAGUCGGGUGUGAAAACUCCAGGCUCAACCUGGAGACGCCACCCGAUACUGCUGUGGCUAGAGUGUGGUAGGGGAGAUCGGAAUUCCUGGUGUAGCGGUGAAAUGCGCAGAUAUCAGGAGGAACACCGGUGGCGAAGGCGGAUCUCUGGGCCAUUACUGACGCUGAGGAGCGAAAGCGUGGGGAGCGAACAGG